Molecule: long non-coding RNA, 289 nt
Filed under: Mytilus galloprovincialis (Mediterranean mussel)
Lineage: Eukaryota; Metazoa; Mollusca; Bivalvia; Mytilida; Mytilidae
Source: RNAcentral
UAUAAUUCUAAUGCAACAACGUUUGUAAUGUUCAUUUUGAUUGGAUAACGUCACUUUUUUUACAUGGCAUCAAUUGACUAUGGGGCGUACGCGCUAGCGGAGACGGCAUAUGACAGACUUUAAUUACAUGUUUUAACGUUGUUUUCUGUCAGUUUCAUUAGAAUGGAGAUAACAAUAUUGUAUUUUUAGCUCCGACGGCAUCAAUUGGGGAUUUGAUGGUCGCAAAUACCCGUUUACUGUCUCCGCUAACGCAUCGCCAGUAAACUUAAUUUGCGACCAUCAAAUCCCC